UUUUCAAAUGCAAUCAAGGCUUCCUAUAUACGGGCGGAAAGGCGGCUUCCUCCGCUGAGAAAGCUGAAGGUCCUUACCUGCGGCGUACGGACUGCUCUGGUGGUCCCUGAGGGUGCCCAGGCUGCAGGAUCCCGGCGUGAGGGAAGGGCAGCCGGACGUGGCCCCAAAAGUGGUCCUUAUCGGGUUAUACUGGAAGCCACUGGCCUGGCUGCAGGAACUGAAGUCAGCAUAGGCUGAAGCCAGGCUCGAGGUGUCCAUCCCAGCCAUACAGGACUCGUAGGCAGAGGAAUUGAGGGUUCUCACAACCAAUUGAAAGAGAAUAAAACAUUCUCUUGCUUCAUAACCAAAGUGCUGCUCACACUUACAGCAACCUUUGGAAGGGGAAUCCUGGCUAUUGAUGUCCCUGGAAAGAGAGUGGUAGAAGAAAAGAAAUUGAAGACAUGGAAGAAAGAUGAAAACGCUGGCUACUAAAUACCUAUGUGUGGUUACUGAGUGUGGUAUACUUGGACACCGAGCUCCCCCACCCAUCAGAUGUCACAAAGAGUCCUCUUACUCUUGGAUAAUUUCAAAUCAAACUGACCUCCCCAGACACCAGAGCCAGAAACAGGAAAAGGCUACAAUUAACUAACUGAAGCACAAUGUGAAGUUAAUCAAUAAUGGAACGAUUAUGACGAAGAUGCCAUACAUUAACUCUACCUAGACAUGAGUGCUGCUUUCAGAGCAUGAACAUUCUUUCAAAUUCCAGAUACCACUUUUUCCCUUGUGAGGCUGCAUUUUAAUUUUCCACUGUCUCCUCUAUUCUCAUUUGCAAUCCUCUGAAUCUCACUGUAAACUGUGACUAGAUUCCUCCUCCCCCAUUUGUGGUGUGUGAUGUUGGAAUCCCUGCGUUGCUCUUCUGAGAAACAGAGAAGACUUCCAUUUGGAGACUGAGCUGACAAGGAUUGAAUUCUUUAUUUAUUUUAUUUUAUUUAUUUAUUUUUU
This 981-nucleotide long non-coding RNA is filed under the name Homo sapiens (human). RNAcentral's name for it is "HSALNT0319337". The record is from RNAcentral. Lineage: Eukaryota; Metazoa; Chordata; Mammalia; Primates; Hominidae.